RNAcentral lists this non-coding RNA (96 nucleotides) under mosquito metagenome. The record is from RNAcentral.
CAAACGCUCUCUGCAAACCAAUAAGUGCCGAAUCCAAGCGCACUGACUUCGCUCUCGCUGCCUGAUCAGUGAUCGAGUCCGUCACCCCGAGGUCGC